Non-coding RNA from Camellia sinensis, 865 nucleotides. The record is from RefSeq and is a predicted model, not a curated record. NCBI's taxonomy places the organism in Eukaryota, Viridiplantae, Streptophyta, Magnoliopsida, Ericales, Theaceae.
GUCCAAGUGCUAAAUUAUUUUGUUCAAAGGGACAAGCUUUAAUUAAAAUGAUUAAACAACCCUUAUAUAUAUCAUAUACACACGGUUCAAGUCACACACACCCUCUCAUCCUAUCCAAACCCUAUCCUUUCUCUCUCUCGGCGUUGCUUUUAGCGCCGCUACUUCCUCCGUCACCACCGCUUCCUUCCUCACUCGUUGGUGGUGUCACCUUCGCUCCCUCAGCUUUGUCUCUCUUCUUAUCUUCAUUUUCUCUUCCCUACCGAUCUGAGAUCAGUUAUUUGUUCUGCUGAUGGCUCCUCCACCCUUCAUCCAAAUCAAUCGAUCUCUUCAGCAUACAAGCAAAUCAGAAACCCGAAGAUCAACAUUUUCUUUCGAUCCCCAAACCUAAUCACACUUAGUCCAAAAAAAAGGAGAUUCAAAACAAGAUUUAUUGAAAUCGACAACAGUGUUUUUCCAGAGAAGCAGAAAAGUACGGUGGCUGAACAACUUGUAAUGUCCAACUGGCUGAGAACCAUUGUUAGGGUUUCGUCUUCGUCGUCAGAUCCUAUCAAGGUUCUUUGAUUUGAGACAGAGAAGCUUAACGAAUCGAGAUCGGGAUCGUGAUUUCGUGAUCGUAACACGAAUGCUCUCUAUGAUUCAAAAAAAAAAAGAGAUCGUGAUUUGUUGAACAUAAUUUGAGCUCUUUGUGAUUCCACCUGCGAUUCUCUUAAACCUUGCCAACAAACUCUGCGAUUCACUUCUUGUAUGAAGAAGUGAAGAAAGAGUAAUGUUCGGAUACUAGUGUUUUAUAAAUGUCGUUUCACAUAGAAGUUUGUAAUAUUUAAUAAGGAAAUGGAUAUGUUUAACUUUUGGGAUUUGGAUGCAA